This 372-nucleotide ribosomal RNA is filed under the name uncultured bacterium. Its description in RNAcentral is "bacterial SSU rRNA". It matches the Rfam family "Bacterial small subunit ribosomal RNA", at positions 29 to 423 of the family's 1533-position model. The record is from RNAcentral.
AACGAACGCUGGCGGCAUGCCUAACACAUGCAAGUCGAACGAAGGCUUCGGCCUUAGUGGCGCACGGGUGCGUAACGCGUGGGAAUCUGCCCUUGGGUUCGGAAUAACUCAGAGAAAUUUGAGCUAAUACCGGAUGAUGACGUAAGUCCAAAGAUUUAUCGCCCAAGGAUGAGCCCGCGUAAGAUUAGCUAGUUGGUGGGGUAAAGGCCUACCAAGGCGACGAUCUUUAGCUGGUCUGAGAGGAUGAUCAGCCACACUGGGACUGAGACACGGCCCAGACUCCUACGGGAGGCAGCAGUGGGGAAUAUUGGACAAUGGGGGGAACCCGUACGAUCCAGCCAUGCCGCGUGAGGGAAGGAAGGUCCGUCUGGA